Small nucleolar RNA from Hypomesus transpacificus, 134 nucleotides. Lineage: Eukaryota; Metazoa; Chordata; Actinopteri; Osmeriformes; Osmeridae. The record is from RefSeq and is a predicted model, not a curated record.
UUGCACUGUACGUAACCUGGUUCACCAGUCAGUAUGAACCCUGGGUUCCAUUCCAGUGCUACAGUAAGAACCAGGGAAGGCAGGGAAGUGGCACGUUUUGUGCCUUUGUCCUUGUUCGUUCUUUGGGAACAUUG